This 411-nucleotide ribosomal RNA is filed under the name uncultured microorganism. Its description in RNAcentral is "bacterial SSU rRNA". It matches the Rfam family "Archaeal small subunit ribosomal RNA", at positions 330 to 743 of the family's 1478-position model. The record is from RNAcentral.
GUGCAGCAGUCGCGAAAACUUCGCAAUGCGCGAAAGCGCGACGAGGGGAUUCCAAGUGCAUGCACUAAGUGUAUGCUUUUCGUGAGUUUAAAACGCUCACGGAAUAAGGGCUGGGUAAGACUGGUGCCAGCCGCCGCGGUAAUACCAGCGGCCCUAGUGGUGAUCGUUAUUAUUGGGCCUAAAGCGUCCGUAGCCGGUCCGGUAAAUCUCUGGGUAAAUCGUUGGGCUUAACUCAGCGAAUUCUGGGGAGACUGCUGGACUUGGGACCGGGAGAGGUCGGAGGUACUCCAGGGGUAGGGGUGAAAUCCUGUAAUCCUUGGGGGACCACCGGUGGCGAAGGCGUCCGACCAGAACGGGUCCGACGGUAGGGGACGAAGCCCUGGGGCGCGAACCGGAUUAGAUACCCCCGUA